CCAGAAGCCGGGUCACAUAAGACGAGAGUGCAGAUUUUUAAAGAAGGAGCAGUCUAAGAAAAAAGAUGAGGAUAAAGAUUCGAUUGUGUAUCUAUCCGACGUUGAUGUAGCUAUUGUUUGUGAUGAUAAACCCAAGUGCCGUGUUAAUGAUUGGAUUAUUGAUUCGGCUGCUUCGUUCCAUGCUACUUCGCGUGGUGAAAUCUUCACAUCCUAC
This 214-nucleotide long non-coding RNA is filed under the name Panax ginseng (ginseng). RNAcentral describes it as "long non-coding RNA (PGIN_LNC004983)". Lineage: Eukaryota; Viridiplantae; Streptophyta; Magnoliopsida; Apiales; Araliaceae. The record is from RNAcentral.